UCCCACUCACCACACGCUCUCGCUCGCUCAAGUGCUACUCCUCGCUCUCUGCAGUCUGCCAGUGACCCGCGCGCCCGCCCCGCCCGCUGGCUGCGCCCUCUCCGUACUCUUCACCGCCUCGUUCCGACGCGUCCAAGAGGCUCGUUGGGCGUUCUUGAGGGAUCAGGCGGACGCGCGAAGGACUUGCUGAAGAGCUGAGGGACUGAGUUUCUGAAGAAAGUGAGGAGGACGAGUAGGCCAGCGGACACGCGCACGAAGCCGAACGAACCCACUUGAGCUUGAGCAGGGCGGCCAGCGAAUGGAGCCUCCGCUCGGGGAGCUAGACAGAACGAGCGCGCCUCCAGGCGGCCAUACGAGGUCUUUACACGCCUGCUACUCGACUCGCGACCCGCCACAGCGGGAGUGAGGCGUUUUCAAGACCGACUUCACCCCUUCUCCUCCUCUUCACCUUUGACAUUCGCUCGCUCUACAUUGAGGGCCUCGCUCGCUUGCCUACUAGCUCAUC
This 505-nucleotide unclassified non-coding RNA is filed under the name Rhodotorula toruloides. The record is from RNAcentral. Lineage: Eukaryota; Fungi; Basidiomycota; Microbotryomycetes; Sporidiobolales; Sporidiobolaceae.